GAUGAACGCUGGCGGCGUGCCUAAUACAUGCAAGUCGAGCGAACAGACGAGGAGCUUGCUCCUCUGACGUUAGCGGCGGACGGGGGAGUAACACGUGGAUAACCUACCUAUAAAACUGGGAUAACUUCGGGAACCCGGAGCUAAUACCGGAGAAUAUAUUAAACCGCAUGGUUUAAUAGUGAAAGAGGUUUUUGCUGUCACUUAUAGAUGGAUCCGCAACGCAUUAGCUAGUUGGUAAGGUAACGGCUUACUAAGGCAACGAUGCGUAGCCGACCUGAGAGGGUGAUCGGGCACACUGGAACUGAGACACGGUCCAGACUCCGACGGGAGGCAGCAGUAGGGAAUCUUCCGCAAUGGGCGAAAGCCUGACGGAGCAACGCCGCGUGAGUGAUGAAGGUCUUCGGAUCGUAAAACGCUGUUAUUAGGGAAGAACAAAUGUGUAAUUAACUAUGCACGUCUUGACGGUACCGAAGCAGAAAGCCACGGCUAACUACGUG
Molecule: ribosomal RNA, 497 nt
Filed under: uncultured bacterium
Lineage: Bacteria
Description: partial 16S ribosomal RNA
Rfam family: Bacterial small subunit ribosomal RNA
Source: RNAcentral